GAUGAACGCUGGCGGCGUGCCUAAUACAUGCAAGUCGAGCGAACAGACGAGGAGCUUGCUCCCCUGACGUUAGCGGCGGACGGGUGAGUAACACGUGGAUAACCUACCUAUAUGACUGGGAUAACUUCGGGAAACCGGAGCUAAUACCGUAUAACAUGUUGAACCGCAUGGUUCAACAGUGAAAGACGGUCUUGCUGUCAUUUAUAGAUGGAUCCGCGCCGCAUUAGCUAGUGGGUAAGGUAACGGCUUACCAAGGCAACGAUGCGUAGCCGACCUGGGAGGGUGAUCGCCCACACUGGAACGGAAACAGGGUCCAAACUCCUACGGAAGGAAGAGUUAGGGAAUCUUCGGCAAUGAGGGAAGGCUGACCGGAGCAAGGCGGGUGGAGGGAGGAAGGUCUUCGGAUCGUAAGACUCUGUUAUUGGGGAGGAACAAAUGUGUAAGUAACUAUGCACGUCUUGACGGUACCUAAUCAGAAAGCCACGGCUAACUACGUG
This 497-nucleotide ribosomal RNA is filed under the name uncultured bacterium. RNAcentral describes it as "partial 16S ribosomal RNA". It matches the Rfam family "Bacterial small subunit ribosomal RNA", at positions 28 to 507 of the family's 1533-position model. The record is from RNAcentral.